UCCUGGCUCAGGAUUAACGCUGGCGGUAUGCCUAACACAUGCAAGUCGAACGGAAUACUAAUUAAGAGAAUCUCACACUAGUGAGAGGUUCUCACGAGUAGUAUUUAGUGGCGGACGGGUGAGUAACACGUUGGAACCUGCCCCGAAGUGGGGAAUAACUGCUCGAAAGAGUAGCUAAUACCCCAUAGUAUCCGGUUUAUCCGGAUUAAAGAUUUAUCGCUUUGGGAGGGGCCUGCGUCUGAUUAGCUAGUUGGUGAGGUAAAAGCUCACCAAGGCGACGAUCAGUAGCUGGUUCGAGAGGAUGACCAGCCACACUGGGACUGAGAUACGGCCCAGACUCCUACGGGAGGCAGCAGUGAGGAAUCUUCCACAAUGGGCGCAAGCCUGAUGGAGCAAUACCGCGUGCAGGAAGACGCUUUUCGGAGUGUAAACUGCUUUUGUCGUCGAAGAUUAUGACUGUAGACGAAGAAUAAGGACCGGCUAACUACGUG
Molecule: ribosomal RNA, 491 nt
Filed under: uncultured bacterium
Lineage: Bacteria
Description: bacterial SSU rRNA
Rfam family: Bacterial small subunit ribosomal RNA
Source: RNAcentral